AUUGAACGCUGGCGGCAUGCUUUACACAUGCAAGUCGAACGGUAACAGGCCGCAAGGUGCUGACGAGUGGCGAACGGGUGAGUAAUGCAUCGGAACGUGCCCAGGCGUGGGGGAUAACUACUCGAAAGAGUAGCUAAUACCGCAUACGAUCUAUGGAUGAAAGCGGGGGACCGUAAGGCCUCGCGCGAUUGGAGCGGCCGAUGUCAGAUUAGGUAGUUGGUGGGGUAAAGGCUCACCAAGCCAACGAUCUGUAGCUGGUCUGAGAGGACGACCAGCCACACUGGGACUGAGACACGGCCCAGACUCCCACGGGAGGCAGCAGUGGGGAAUUUUGGACAAUGGGCGCAAGCCUGAUCCAGCAAUGCCGCGUGCAGGAAGAAGGCCUUCGGGUUGUAAACUGCUUUUGUACGGAACGAAACGGCUCUGGUUAAUACCCGGGGCUAAUGACGGUACCGUAAGAAUAAGCACCGGCUAACUACGUG
RNAcentral lists this ribosomal RNA (482 nucleotides) under uncultured bacterium. RNAcentral's name for it is "partial 16S ribosomal RNA". It matches the Rfam family "Bacterial small subunit ribosomal RNA", at positions 30 to 507 of the family's 1533-position model. The record is from RNAcentral.